AUUGAACGCUGGCGGCAGGCUUAACACAUGCAAGUCGAGCGAGCGGCGGACGGGCGAGUAGUGUCUGGGAAACUGCCUGAUCGAGGGGGCUAACGACUGGAAACGGUAGCUAAUACCGCAUAACAUCAGUUGUGCCCAGAUGGGAUUAGCUAGUAGGUGGGGUAAUGGCUCACCUGGGCGACGAUCCCUAGCUGGUCUGCGAGGAUGAACAGCCACACUGGGACGGAGACACGGGCCAGACUCCGACGGGAGGCAGCAGUGGGGAAUCUUGCACAAUGGGCGAAAGCCUGAUGCAGCCACGCCGCGUGUGUGAAGAAGGGUUUCGGGUUGUAAAGCUCUUUCAUCAGGGAGGCGGUACUCGAAGAGGAAGCACCGGCUAACUACGUGCCAGCAGCCGCGGUAAUUC
Molecule: ribosomal RNA, 406 nt
Filed under: uncultured bacterium
Lineage: Bacteria
Description: partial 16S ribosomal RNA
Rfam family: Bacterial small subunit ribosomal RNA
Source: RNAcentral